CCUGAUGUCUAAACCCUACAGCGGAACAUUCGCCCCAUCAAAGUGUUGCCUCAUUUCUAAAUGUAUUUAUACGAAACUCUAAUAAAGCAUUAAACCACAUUGAAUCCAACGCUGGCAAAUCACUUCGUUUUCAAAAUGAGAAUAACGUUGCCCGAAUUGGGAUGCCCUGGACAGUCUGGGGUGGGUGUCCUUGCGGCUGGACCUGCAAGGGCGGCCGGUGUGUCUGGAGACACGGAGGGUGGAGGCGCCGUGGCCUCUUGAGCAAACUCGUCCUAGGCAGGGGCCGGCCGCCCUUCAAAGGCCCGGGAAACGUCGGAGACCUGAAGGGAAAACUGUGGGGUCUGCAAAAUACAAAAAAGACAGCGUCAAAAUUGCUAAAUGUUUAACUAAACACCAACAGAAAGUCAUGUCAACUUUAAUAUUUGUUAAGUUUGGUAUCCUACAAAUGUCAUUAUAUUGAAAACAAUAUGUAAGUUGGAUUUUUGGCAAGAGUUCCAGAAUAUGCAGGAUGAUCGAAGAGAAAUCCUAGCCAAUAGUAAAUUAAAUGAGUUACUCAUAGUCAAGUAAUUUCAAAAGCAAAUUUAUAAAAAUCCUUUUACAUUUAAAGCAAAGAAGCGUUUUAUUUAAUGAGGGAUGUGGGUGCAUUUGAAUGUUUGUCAUGAUAAGGGGGGGCCUCCAAGAAUCGGAUGCCAGGUCUGGAAAGGGCUGUAGACGGCCCUGGCCUGCAGUCCCGCUCUGGACUUGGGGGGGCCAUCAGCUCAGUCUGGCUCCUUUUACCCUCCUGCCUCUCUAACUAGCUUCAGAGCACCUGCUCCUGCCACAGGCGUCUUCUCCAGAUCUCUGCAAAGACCACGUGUGGCUGGGGUUUCUCUCUCCAUUUUGCAGAUGAGAAUCUGACCUGGAUUUGAAACCUGAGUUCCGUUUAUUAGCUGUGCAAGUGCCCCCUCCUCCCUGACUUCCCAGGUGUGGGGGGGACACGUAAAGCAGAGAGAAUACCAACCCGUUCGCAGCCUUGUGUGUCCACCAUGCGCUUCCAUGGUGGAGUAAAUACCUCCUGGGUGCCUGGCACUGGGCUGAGCACUUUACAAGUGUGAAGUGCCUAAGGACUCUGCAGAGAGCUGUCAUCGUGCUCCCCUUCUUAGAGAGAGAAAGUUGAGGCACAGGAGGUUAAGUACCUUCUCCAAGGUGACCCAGGCAGCAAAUGGCAGAACUGGGAUUUGAACCCAGAACUGCCUGGCUGCAGAGUCCUUGUUCCUCCAACUCUACAGUGAUCCCCAGGGUGGGCCUGUGAUUGCUGUGUGUCUGGUGGGGUUGUCUCUGUAGGAUUGUGUGCUCAGGGAAGGGACAGUGUCUGGCUCUGGAAAGCAGAGUCUGGCUGGAGACGAGGCUAGAGGUAGGAAGGCUGUGAGGAGGCCCUUGCAGUAUCCUAGAUGUGAGUGAUGAGCACCUGGGUGGUGGGAGUGGGGAUGGAGAGAAGCUUUUGAGGGGAGGCAGUUAAGACCAGUGGUUAAGACAGGGUUAGGAGCACCAUUGUGCCUGGAAUAGCCUGAUGAAAGAUUGAGAAUGUGAAUGCCCUGAGGUGGGUGUGCACCCCAGUUGGCCACAAGCCCCACCUCGCCCUAUUGCCAUACACUGGGUUCAAUCCAUACAUUGUGAGGGAGGUAUCUGAGUUUGUGACGCCUGGGUUAAAAUCUCUGUCUCACAGUACAGCUCUUUCACUUCUUACUGCAAGAUAUUGGGCAAAAUACAUGAACUCUGAGCUUCAGUACUCUUAUUUGUAAAAUGGGGACACCAGGGUCCCCUGCACUGGUUUGUUGUGGACAUUAAAUACUGUAUAGAAAGCUCUUAGCAGAGUGAUCAGCACACAGCAAACCCUGAGUGCAUACACGAAACUUAUGAAACUUCAAUAGAAGCUAUGCUCGAUGUUGGAUGAAGAAAAUCAUACAUCAUACCUGAGUUCAAGCCCAGAGGACUUGGAAAAUUAUGGACUUACUAGUAGAAACUCCACUGGGGGCCAGAGAAGGGUAGGACAAUUCUUUUCUGGAGAAAAUGAUAUCACCUUUGUUUUGUGCUUCGUAAUUUUCCACAUUUAAUUUUUACAACAGCCUCAACGAGCUGGACAGGAGUGUGAUUAUUCCUGUGUGCAGCCUAAAAUUCCUUUGAAAUAAGGUGGGAUCUAAACAAAAAUGUAGGUAUGUAUGUUUUACAUAAAUACUGGAUAAUGGUUUACAAAGUCAGAGAAGCCCCAUCACAGGGCUGAGAGGCGGUGACUUGGGCAAGGACCUGGCAUUGGACUCCUGGCCCAGUGCUCUCCUUACCUUUGAUCUCCCUUUGGGACCUGCUGGAGAGUUUGGACAGGGCCUGGCCAGAGGCUGGAAUGGGGGUGACUGGGUGGGCGGCUUCCAGCUGAGGGAAGCUGGGGUGGGGCUGGAGGAGGAGGAGCAGCCGUGAGGUCUGGCUCUUGCUGAGGCCACCAAGACUUCUGAGGGCAAGUACCCGUGUGUCUCUACUUCCACCGAGCCUCCUCUUUCUCUGUUCCCCACCUUGUGCCCCUGCCUUGAGUGUGAGCAUCUUCUGGGAGAGCUCCCUCCGCUCUGGGUCCUAGACCCCUCCCUGGGUGGCUGUGGCGUCUCGCCCUGGUGCGAACCUCUCUCUGCCCACCUACUGCCCUGUCUCAGCCCCUCUCCACCAGCUGCUUCUCGUUUGCUCCCAGCCCCCAUCAGCGAACUUCCUACUUGUCUCAUUCCUUUCUCUGAAUAACAACAAAGAAAUUCUCACAACAGGGAGAAAUACCCGCUGUGGUUGUCCCUGUUUCACAGAUGGUAUCCUGAUGCACAAGAUUAAGGAACUUGCUCUGGGUUAUACAGCCGGCGUUGGGUGGAGCCAGGGUUCAAACUCAAGUCCCUUUGACUCUAAAGUCCAAGCUGAAGCACAGGUGUACAUCCCUGGAGGACCCCAGACUCCAGAAUCUUGAAAGACCACGCUGUCUCAGAGCACCUGAAUUCCAAUCGUCGGUGACACAGUGGCCUCCAAACAAGACACCGCUGAGAUGACAGGCCUUCGGGUCUUGUCACAGGGAAGCAAGACAACCUGGGACAACACCAACAGCAGUUUUGCCUGUGCCAUCAGCCACUUCCUUGCGUAGCCUCGUCUUGACUCGCAGGCUGCAUUUUCUUUUUCCGUUCGGAGAGCAGUGCCACCUUGUGUACAGCAUCACCCACCCCAUGAGGGGUAAGCCGGAGGAGGCACCUUCCUACCAUCCUCUUCCUCAUCAAACUCCUCCUGCCCGUCCACCCCUGGGCUGCUGCCGCUUCUCCCAGACUGUCCCCACUGGCUCCCCUUCCAAGAGAUCAAGAUGGAGAUGGAGAUGCGGUUCAAGAGGCCACUGGGGGCGGAGGCCCUGCAGGCCAGAUCCUCAGUCUCUCACAGUGUCCAGAGAUGGUCAGCCCAUAGGAACUGACUCCCUCCAACCCAGCUCACAGGAGAUGUGCCGCAGACCAGGGGAGCUACUUUCCAGCUUACAAAAGGAAUCAGAAUACCAAGCACGAGAUUUUUUCAAAAGUCAACCAGCAGUGGCUUGGUGAACAGGCUGGGUACCCACAGAGCUGCCUGCGGGCCUCGGUGCUGCCAUGGGAGUGCACAUAUUCAUGCCAAGGUAUCCCCAGGGCAGGCUGCCUUGGGUGCUGGAGCGCCCCCUGUGAAGAAUCCAGAUCCUAACUACGUUUCCUGGCUGGGCUGCUCUUCAUCUGGAACUCCUUCGUGUCAAGAUGAUUUCUGCAGGAGUUCAUUUCCUCUCCUGAGUGUAACGCUUAGAGCUGUGAGGAAGGCCUAAUGGUGCUCCCCAUGUACCGCUGCACCCCAGUUCUGGUGGAGGAGAUAAGGCUCCUUGUGAAGGGCCCUGGCCGAGGCCCACAUGGGCUGUGGUGGUCAGCGUGGGGAGGAAGCUCUGGGGCCUCAGGCACUUGGGCAAGGCCCUGAGGGGGAGGCGGGCUUUGAACAGGCUUUGCAAGGAUGGAGAGAACCUGCGUGGAGGGGGAGGGAGGAAGCCGUCCUGGGGCUGGGUUAGGGGCAGCUCUCCUCGUCUUUUGGUGUGGGAUCAGCAUCCCAGAGGCCGCAGGAGAAGGGGACAGCACUGCCCUUCACCUGCAGGCCAGUGCCUCCCUGGGAUUGGACCUGGAGGGGUCUCCUUGCCUCUCUCAGAGGCAGGGGCUGAGUCAGGUGGCAUGAGAGGCUUGUCCCAUGAUGCUUAGUCCAGUAUUUUGCUCCCUGUGGAUGCUCAGGAAAUAGCACUGGCAGGGAUUCUGGGACUCUGAAUUUAGCCAUCAAGGAUAAUGAUAACAAUGGCUAAAAUUUCCUGAGUGCUUACCAUAUGUCAGGCACUGUUUUAGGAACUUUACAUGUACCAUCUUAGUCCCUAAAUCAGCCCUAGGAAGUAGGUGCUACUAUUAUUGCCACUUAAAGAGGAGGAAAUGUAAGCACAGAAAGGAUAACUAAACUUCUUCGAGUCACACAGCUAGUAAGUGGUGGGCCCAGGAUGCUAACCCAGGAGGUCUGGCUCCAGAGGCAAUGCUCUACCUGCUGUGCCCCACUGCCUUCUUCCUUGGGGUUCUGUGAAUGAGGUGGUCCAGGGGCCUGUUAUGGCUAGGCAGGAUGGGGUCUGGUCCCUCAGAUUGUAAGGGAAGGCUGGCCUCUGUCCUGGGCCUCACUAGAGAUCCUCUCAGUGGAUACCCACGUAGAAGAUCUGGAUUGUGGUUGCAGCCCUGGCACCUGGUUAACAACCCCUGCUCUCUGGGAUGGCAGCCGGGUCCCUGGGGCUGUCCUGUCUUUGUGACCCAGUCAAAGUUAGAGUCAACUCUUUGUCCCCAUUUUCUGUUUCACACCUGCCAAGCAAAAACCCCAUCCCCUGGACACUCUGUCAAUGUCCCACCUACAGACCUCUUCUGGUCCCUGGGGUCUGUUCCUUGAUUUCCUUACUGCCUCCUGGCUCCUGGGCAGAAUUACUUUUCUCCUAGGGACUAUUUGCUACUUGUGUGGCUAUGAUGGAGACAGUCCCAAGUGCAACCCUGUUUCAAGAUUUGUGGAAAUUCAAAUACUUUCCACCCCAUCCUGCCCUGAGUCAAAGAGAAACUACCAUCACCACUCACCCCAAAACCGGGGGUUGGGACAGCACGGCCUCUUCAAUAACUGGUGCUGGGCCAGCUGGACAUGCAUCUGGAAAAAACGCCAACUCCAACCUAACACCAUACACAAAGGUAUGAGCUGUAUUUCCAAACCACUCACUUAUGAUCUGCCACAGGAGAUUUAGUGUUCUGGAAAAGACUCCUGAGAUAAACGGCCCUUGAACUUCGAUGAAAAGACCCUUAGAAGAUAUUUCCAGCCGGAGGCUCCACAUAACCCAGGUCUCAGAGCUCCCGGCAAGCCCUCACAGGGCUGUCCAAGAAGACUUCUGUGCUCCAGCCGCAGCUGAGGCCAGUGGAAGCUUCCAUCCUGUCAACGAUGGCCCCUUAGGGACAAGGGGGCAGGGAAGAGCAGGAGGAAUGUGUCCUCGUGAUCACCAUCUGCUGAGGGGAGCCCACUGGAGUUUUAGAUCCUCCCUCCCAAGCCAGAAGUUUCUUCUUGGAAGGGAAGGUGGAGGACAGCUGAAGCUGGGGAAAGACUGUUAAUGCCAUCAGGUGGUUGGGAGAGAAGCCCACAUUCAGUUCGUGGAUGCUGUCCUCUUCGUCACCAUUAACCCCACCGAGCAGAGCGGUCACAGCCUCCCUGGGCUCUCCAUGCCUUCCAUGCCAGUGCUCUGAGACAUUCCAGAUCUUCAGUCAAGCUCUUCUCCUCCUCCAUUCUCAGAGCCUGAAGAAGAAUUUCUGCCUGCAGAAAGUCAACUGCUUUUUCCAGCGCAGGGCAGAACCGACCUUGGAGUCCUGGAGAGUUCCAGGGGUCCUGGCCUGAAGAAGAUCUCUGCCUAGAUGAAGUCCAGCUGCUUCCUCCGAAAGACCCGUGUUUCUAUAUGUGGCCUUGUGGGGCAACAAGUAGGG
This is a long non-coding RNA of Equus asinus (donkey), 6029 nucleotides long. The record is from Ensembl. Lineage: Eukaryota; Metazoa; Chordata; Mammalia; Perissodactyla; Equidae.